GUGAGGGCGACCGAGCGUGGGAAGGAAGCAUGGAGCGUAAGCCGCGAGUCGAGGAACACGAAGCGCAUAUGAGGCGGUGCCGAGCAGGGCGAGCGGGCAAAUGAUCGCGAAGCCCUUGUGGUCAAGGCGAGGUGACGUAGAUGCGACGGCUGUGCGGUGAAGGAUGGCGUU
Non-coding RNA from Variovorax sp. HW608, 171 nucleotides. The record is from Rfam. Lineage: Bacteria; Pseudomonadati; Pseudomonadota; Betaproteobacteria; Burkholderiales; Comamonadaceae.